Sus scrofa (pig) is the source of this 630-nucleotide long non-coding RNA. RefSeq lists it as uncharacterized. The record is from RefSeq and is a predicted model, not a curated record. Lineage: Eukaryota; Metazoa; Chordata; Mammalia; Artiodactyla; Suidae.
UCUGAAAGCGGGACACCGAAAUCUCCCACCACCGCGGAGGACCGCCGCAGGAGUGAGCGCUCACACGCCCGCCGCGCAGGGCGAUGAGGCGGCGUCCAGGAGCCCUCUUUCAUCUCCUUAACCCCCAGAACCCUAUGCUAGCCCUGAAUCCCGAGACGAGGAGGUCCGCGGGAAAAUGUCUCUUCGUGCAACCCGAACACUUCCAAUUCGGAAGGAGGAGGUGGAACUUGAACUUUUCCUCUGGGAAGAAGCCCCUGCGGGCUGUUCUUUCGCCCAGGGUACUCCUAAUCGCUUCCCAGAGAUAGCGCUGGGAAGCUCCAGGCUGCGCCCAGGGUCUCUCGCGCCUUCUAGCCGCCCAAGCAAAGAAGUCUAGCCGGGUAGCUCCCUCGUCCCCUGCACCGGACACAAAUCGCAGGCCUAGCAGCUUUGGGAAGGGCCCAAGCUGAACUCUCACCUCCUCUGCUCCUGUAACCCGGCCCUAGCCACGCUGGGCACGCAAGACAAAGGAGCUUAAUGUCUGAAAACGGGGGUGGGGGGGCAGUGGAGGGGAGGAGGAAUCCUCCAGAGGUGUAGCUGAGAAAAAUUGGCCACCUACAGAGUGGACAGGCAAUAAAACCCACCCAACAUUUC